UGCCCUGAGAACCAGGCAGCUUAUACCUGAC
RNAcentral lists this non-coding RNA (31 nucleotides) under Mus musculus (house mouse). The record is from RNAcentral. Lineage: Eukaryota; Metazoa; Chordata; Mammalia; Rodentia; Muridae.